RNAcentral lists this non-coding RNA (45 nucleotides) under Schistosoma mansoni. Lineage: Eukaryota; Metazoa; Platyhelminthes; Trematoda; Strigeidida; Schistosomatidae. The record is from RNAcentral.
AUCCAGCUGAUGAGUCCCAAACAGGACAAAACGAGCAUUCUGGAU